GACGAACGCUGGCGGCGUGCUUAACACAUGCAAGUCGAACGGAAAGGCCCUGCUUUUGUGGGGUGCCCGAGUGGCGAACGGGUGAGUAACACGUGAGUAACCUGCCCUUGACUUUGGGAUAACUUCAGGAAACUGGGGCUAAUACCGGAUAGGAGCUCCUGCUGCAUGGUGGGGGUUGGAAAGUUUCGGCGGUUGGGGAUGGACUCGCGGCUUAUCAGCUUGUUGGUGGGGUAGUGGCUUACCAAGGCUUUGACGGGUAGCCGGCCUGAGAGGGUGACCGGCCACAUUGGGACUGAGAUACGGCCCAGACUGCUACGGGAGGCAGCAGUGGGGAAUAUUGCACAAUGGGCGGAAGCCGGAUGCAGCAACGCCGCGUGCGGGAUGACGGCCUUCGGGUUGUAAACCGCUUUCGCCUGUGACGAAGCGUGAGUGACGGUAAUGGGUAAAGAAGCACCGGCUAACUACGUG
RNAcentral lists this ribosomal RNA (468 nucleotides) under uncultured bacterium. RNAcentral describes it as "partial 16S ribosomal RNA". It matches the Rfam family "Bacterial small subunit ribosomal RNA", at positions 28 to 507 of the family's 1533-position model. The record is from RNAcentral.